UAGGGAAUCUUCGGCAAUGGACGGAAGUCUGACCGAGCAACGCCGCGUGAGUGAAGAAGGUUUUCGGAUCGUAAAGCUCUGUUGUAAGAGAAGAACGAGUGUGAGAGUGGAAAGUUCACACUGUGACGGUAUCUUACCAGAAAGGGACGGCUAACUACGUGCCAGCAGCCGCGGUAAUACGUAGGUCCCGAGCGUUGUCCGGAUUUAUUGGGCGUAAAGCGAGCGCAGGCGGUUAGAUAAGUCUGAAGUUAAAGGCUGUGGCUUAACCAUAGUACGCUUUGGAAACUGUUUAACUUGAGUGCAAGAGGGGAGAGUGGAAUUCCAUGUGUAGUGGUGAAAUGCGUAGAUAUAUGGAGGAACACCGGUGGCGAAAGCGGCUCUCUGGCUUGUAACUGACGCUGAGGCUCGAAAGCGUGGGGAGCAAACAGGAUUAGAUACCCUGGUAGUCCACGCCGUAAACGAUGAGUGCUAGGUGUUAGACCCUUUCCGGGGUUUAGUGCCGCAGCUAACGCAUUAAGCACUCCGCCUGGGGAGUACGACCGCAAGGUUGAAACUCAAAUGAAUUGAC
RNAcentral lists this ribosomal RNA (568 nucleotides) under uncultured bacterium. Its description in RNAcentral is "partial 16S ribosomal RNA". It matches the Rfam family "Bacterial small subunit ribosomal RNA", at positions 355 to 914 of the family's 1533-position model. The record is from RNAcentral.